CCUACGGGAGGCAGCAGUAAGGAAUAUUGGUCAAUGGACGCAAGUCUGAACCAGCCAUGCCGCGUGAAGGAUUAAGGUCCUCUGGAUUGUAAACUUCUUUUAUAUGGGACGAAAACAGAUCUUUCUAGGUCCUUUGACGGUACCAUAUGAAUAAGCACCGGCUAACUCCGUGCCAGCAGCCGCGGUAAUACGGAGGGUGCAAGCGUUAUCCGGAUUCACUGGGUUUAAAGGGUGCGUAGGCGGGUAGGUAAGUCAGUGGUGAAAUCCUGGAGCUCAACUCCAGAACUGCCAUUGAUACUAUCUAUCUUGAAUAUUGUGGAGGUAAGCGGAAUAUGUCAUGUAGCGGUGAAAUGCUUAGAUAUGACAUAGAACACCCAUUGCGAAGGCAGCUUACUACGCAUAUAUUGACGCUGAGGCACGAAAGCGUGGGGAUCAAACAGGAUUAGAUACCCUGGUAGUCCACGCCCUAAACGAUGGAUACUCGACAUACGCGAUACACAGUGUGUGUCUGAGACGAAGACAUUAAGUAUCCCACCCGUCGGAGGUACGUUCGCGAAGAAAGUAGAAACGUUAAAGUUAAGUAAGUUAGUACGGACGUUAGGAGACGNGCCGACGGACGACACGAGGGGAGGUUAGG
Molecule: ribosomal RNA, 637 nt
Filed under: uncultured bacterium
Lineage: Bacteria
Description: bacterial SSU rRNA
Rfam family: Bacterial small subunit ribosomal RNA (bases 1-536)
Source: RNAcentral